AACGAACGCUGGCGGCAGGCCUAACACAUGCAAGUCGAACGCUCGUAGCAAUACGGGAGUGGCGCACGGGUGAGUAACGCGUGGGCACCUACCCGGUGGUCCGGAAUAACCGCGGGAAACUGCGGCUAAUACCGAAUAAGCCCUUAGGGGGAAAGAUUUAUCGCCAUCGGAUGGGCCCGCGUAGGAUUAGCUAGUUGGUGAGGUAACGGCUCACCAAGGCUACGAUCCUUAGCUGGUCUGAGAGGAUAAUCAGCCACACUGGGACUGAGACACGGCCCAGACUCCUACGGGAGGCAGCAGUGGGGAAUAUUGGACAAUGGGCGCAAGCCUGAUCCAGCCAUGCCGCGUGAGUGAAGAAGGCCUUCGGGUUGUAAAGCUCUUUUGGCGGGGACGAUGAUGAC
This 401-nucleotide ribosomal RNA is filed under the name uncultured Alphaproteobacteria bacterium. Its description in RNAcentral is "bacterial SSU rRNA". It matches the Rfam family "Bacterial small subunit ribosomal RNA", at positions 29 to 455 of the family's 1533-position model. Lineage: Bacteria; Pseudomonadati; Pseudomonadota; Alphaproteobacteria. The record is from RNAcentral.